CGUCAAAUCAUCAUGCCCUUUAUGGUCUGGGCUACACACGUGCUACAAUGGGUGGUACAGAGAGCGGCGAGGCCGUGAGGCGGAGCGAAUCUCAAAAAGCCACUCCCAGUUCGGAUUGCAGCCUGCAACUCGGCUGCAUGAAGUCGGAAUCGCUAGUAAUCGCGGAUCAGCAUGCCGCGGUGAAUGCGUUCCCGGGCCUU
Molecule: ribosomal RNA, 200 nt
Filed under: uncultured prokaryote
Description: partial 16S ribosomal RNA
Rfam family: Bacterial small subunit ribosomal RNA
Source: RNAcentral